RNAcentral lists this ribosomal RNA (254 nucleotides) under uncultured bacterium. RNAcentral describes it as "partial 16S ribosomal RNA". It matches the Rfam family "Bacterial small subunit ribosomal RNA", at positions 524 to 776 of the family's 1533-position model. The record is from RNAcentral.
UACGGAGGGGGCUAGCGUUGUUCGGAAUUACUGGGCGUAAAGCGCACGUAGGCGGACCGGACAGUCAGAGGUGAAAUCCCCAGGGCUCAACCUUGGAACUGCCUUUGAAACUAUCGGUCUGGAGUUCGAGAGAGGUGAGUGGAAUUCCGAGUGUAGAGGUGAAAUUCGUAGAUAUUCGGAGGAACACCAGUGGCGAAGGCGGCUCACUGGCUCGAUACUGACGCUGAGGUGCGAAAGCGUGGGGAGCAAACAGG